AUACGGAGGGAGCGAGCGUUAAUCGGAAUUACUGGGCGUAAAGCGCGCGUAGGCGGCUUUGUAAGUCGGAUGUGAAAGCCCUGGGCUCAACCUGGGAAUGGCAUUCGAUACUGCAGAGCUAGAGUAUGGUAGAGGGAAGUGGAAUUUCCGGUGUAGCGGUGAAAUGCGUGGAUAUCGGAAGGAACACCAGUGGCGAAGGCGACUUCCUGGGCCAAUACUGACGCUGAGGUGCGAAAGCGUGGGGAGCAAACAGGAUUAGAAACCCCGGUAGUCC
RNAcentral lists this ribosomal RNA (274 nucleotides) under uncultured bacterium. RNAcentral's name for it is "partial 16S ribosomal RNA". It matches the Rfam family "Bacterial small subunit ribosomal RNA", at positions 523 to 796 of the family's 1533-position model. The record is from RNAcentral.